CCAAAGGUUUUUUGAAACCACAAUUAUUUAUAAUACCAUUUAAU
Non-coding RNA from Schistosoma mattheei, 44 nucleotides. NCBI's taxonomy places the organism in Eukaryota, Metazoa, Platyhelminthes, Trematoda, Strigeidida, Schistosomatidae. The record is from Rfam.